This 664-nucleotide ribosomal RNA is filed under the name Nosema granulosis. Its description in RNAcentral is "partial small subunit ribosomal RNA". It matches the Rfam family "Microsporidia small subunit ribosomal RNA", at positions 67 to 773 of the family's 1311-position model. Lineage: Eukaryota; Fungi; Microsporidia; Nosematidae. The record is from RNAcentral.
UAUAAAGAAAAGACGAACAGCUCAGUAACUCUUAUUUUAUUUGAUGUAUUAGGAUUCUAACUAUGUUAAAUUAUAGAUAACAAUAAUACAAUAAGAAUAAGAUCUAUCAGUUAGUUGUUAAGGUAAUGGCUUAACAAGACUAUGACGGAUAACGGUAUUACUUUGUAAUAUUCCGGAGAAGGAGCCUGAGAGAUUGCUACUAAGUCUAAGGAUUGCAGCAGGGGCGAAACUUGACCUAUGAUAUGAUAUUGAGGCAGUUAUGAGUAGUAUUUUUAAUUAUUGUAGUAUUGUAAGUAUAUACUACAAGAUAAAUCGGAGGGCAAAUCGAGUGCCAGCAGCCGCGGUAAUACUUGUUCCGAUAGUGUGUAUGAUGAUUGAUGCAGUUAAAAAGUCUGUAGUUUAUGAUUAAUAAGCAUUGUGAGGUAUAUUGUAUGGUUAGGAGAGAGAUGAAAUGUGAUAACCCUAACUGGAUGAACAGAAGCGAAAGCUAUAUACUUAAAUGUAUUAUUAGAACAAGGACGUAAGCUAGAGGAUCGAAGAUGAUUAGAUACCAUUGUAGUUCUAGCAGUAAACUAUGUUAAAUCAUAGAUACAUUUUAUAAUAUGUAUUUAUGUAAAGAAAUUAAGAUUAUAUUGACUCUGGGGAUAGUAUGAUCGCAAGAUUG